Molecule: small RNA, 177 nt
Filed under: Mycoplasmoides pneumoniae M129
Lineage: Bacteria; Bacillati; Mycoplasmatota; Mycoplasmoidales; Mycoplasmoidaceae
Description: Mycoplasma pneumoniae M129 ncRNA
Source: RNAcentral
ACUAAAACAGUUCUUACUCAACUAAAUACUUGAACUACCUCAACGACAACGGGAAAUUUAAUUGAACACCUAUUAAAGAUAUAGUGUUCUUCUCUAUUUUAGAUUUAGUAAUCCCUAAAGGAGAAAAUUUACGCCAAAUGUGUACCAAAAAAAGAGAAAUUUUUGGCGAUUACGUUA